This 107-nucleotide small nuclear RNA is filed under the name Dasypus novemcinctus (nine-banded armadillo). The record is from RNAcentral. Lineage: Eukaryota; Metazoa; Chordata; Mammalia; Cingulata; Dasypodidae.
GUGCUAGCUUUAGCAGCACAUAUACUAAGAUUGGAAUGAUACAGAGAAGAUUAGCACAACCCCUGCGCAAGGAUGACAUGCAAAUUUGUGAUGUGUUCCAUAUUUUA